GACGGAGGGUCCUAGCGUUGUUCGGAAUCACUGGGCGUAAAGGGCUCGUAGGCGGUCAUUCAAGUCGAGUGUGAAAGCCCGGGGCUCAACCUCGGAACUGCAUUCGAUACUGGAUUGCUUGAGGCCGGAAGAGGAGAGUGGAAUACCCAGUGUAGAGGUGAAAUUCGUAGAUACUGGGUUGAACACCAGUGGCGAAAGCUGCUCUCUGGUCCGGUCCUGACGCUGAGGCGCGACGGAUUGGGUAGCACCUUGG
RNAcentral lists this ribosomal RNA (253 nucleotides) under uncultured bacterium. Its description in RNAcentral is "partial 16S ribosomal RNA". It matches the Rfam family "Bacterial small subunit ribosomal RNA", at positions 524 to 776 of the family's 1533-position model. The record is from RNAcentral.